This is an RNA transcript of Cucumis sativus (cucumber), 1692 nucleotides long. It is a transcript of the gene named dihydrodipicolinate reductase-like protein CRR1, chloroplastic, with no coding region annotated. The transcript is spliced from 10 exons. Lineage: Eukaryota; Viridiplantae; Streptophyta; Magnoliopsida; Cucurbitales; Cucurbitaceae. The record is from RefSeq and is a predicted model, not a curated record.
AGAUAAACCAACCAAUUCUAGAGGGAAGGGGACCAAACCUUUAUAGCCUAAUAGCCAAAAUCUAAUUUGGAGAUUUGGAGUAAAUAAAUUCUCACAGUCACAUUUAAUUACAUUUUCUCAAGAAAUUUGUAAAGCCGUCGCUGUCGCUGUCGCAUGAGCUCAAAUUCAUAGAUCACAGACACAAGAACCUUAUCAAACAAAAACACAAGGCUAAAAUGAAAAUGGGCUUAUCUUCUUACGCAAUUAGACCCAUUUCAGCUCCGAAAGAGAAGAAGAAACAGAGCUUUGAAACCAACAACAAUGGCGACCCUGGGUUGCCAGUUUCCCUUUACAGUGUAUAAGAACUCAAAGAAGAAGAGACCAGGAUCUUCAAUUCUCUGCUCAGUACAACCAUCUCAGGGAAAUAUCAAGGUCAUUAUAAAUGGAGCAGCCAAAGAAAUUGGAAGAGCUGCAGUUAUUGCAGUGACAAAGGCAAGAGGAAUGGAAGUUGCUGGUGCUGUCGAUUCACAUUGUGUAGGAGAAGACAUUGGAAAGGUGUGUGACAUGGAAGAACCUCUGGAAUUACCCAUAUUAAAUGAUCUCACCAUGGUUUUAGGUUCAAUAUCUCAGUCAAAGGAAACAGGAGUAGUUGUUGAUUUUACCGAACCUUCUAAAGUAUAUGAGAACGUGAAGCAGGCAACUGCAUUUGGCAUGAGAAGUGUGGUUUAUGUUCCUAGAUUAAAAGUAGACACAGUGGCUGCUUUAUCUAACUUCUGUGAGAAAGCUAGCAUGGGUUGUCUUGUCGCCCCAACUCUGUCCAUUGGCUCUAUCCUCCUCCAGCAAGCUGCAAUUUCAGCUUCAUUUCAUUAUAGCAAUAUAGAGAUAGUGGAAUCCACAGCGCAUGCACAGGAUCUCCCAUCUUCAGAUGCAGCCCAAAUAGCCAACAACCUCUCAAACUUGGGCCAGAUCUACAACAGAGAAGAUAUUUCAACAGAUGUGCUGGCAAGGGGGCAGGUUAUUGGAGAAGACGGAGUUCGAGUGCACAGUCUAGUCCUUCCGGGGCUUCCUUCCAGCACCAAUGUCUACUUCUCACGCCCGGGAGAGGUGAGUUCUAGCUUGUGUUUGCGUUCUUGUUUAACUAAAAUUGAAAGAAGUGGCGCGAGUUCGAGAUGUGGAACUGGUUUACACUCUCAAACAUGAUAUCAUAAAUGUGCAAUGCCUCAUGCCAGGCUUAUUAUUGGCAAUUAGAAAAGUGGUGCGCCUUAAGAAUCUGGUGUAUGGCUUGGAGAAAUUUUUGUAGAACUUCGAAGACUCUCCCCUGGUAGCUCUAUCUGAAACUUUCACCUCCACUUUUCAUUGGACAGAGUGACCAUCUUGACCUGAUAACAAAAAGGAAAUAAAGUCAGGAGUUCAAGUUAGAGAGAAUUGAAAGAGAAUAUUUUGUUUUUCGUUUUCCUUGUGUACAUGAAAUUAAAUUAUUUCGUUCUUAAAAGGAUUCCAGACACAUUUUUUCUUCCAUUACCAAUUUCCUUUCCUCAGGAAACUUAAAAAGAUGUCUGUAACUUAUGCUCCCUGAUAGAUUGUAUCACAGCUAACUGUGAACCCGCUGAGACUUAAUGGCGACCUCAGGAGCUCAUUCUCUAUUCCUACCCAGAAAAAUCUUCAAUAUUCUAAAUUUGGAGAGAGUAUAAAAAAUUUCAGCUUAAUGUGAAA